AUUGUUCGCAAUGGGCGCAAGCCCGACGACGCAACGCCGCGUGGAGGAUGAAGGGCUUCGGCUCGUAAACUCCUUUCGACCGAGAUGAAUACCCGCAGGGCCAAUACCCUUGCGGACUGACAGUAUCGAGGGAAGAAGCCCCGGCUAACUCCGUGCCAGCAGCCGCGGUAAUACGAAGGGGGCUAGCGUUGCUCGGAAUUACUGGGCGUAAAGGGCGCGUAGGCGGAUAUCUAAGUUGGGGGUGAAAGCCCGGGGCUCAACCUCGGAAUAGCCUUCAAUACUGGAUAUCUUGAGUUCGGGAGAGGUGAGUGGAAUGCCGAGUGUAGAGGUGAAAUUCGUAGAUAUUCGGCGGAACACCAGUGGCGAAGGCGACUCACUGGCCCGAUACUGACGCUGAGGCGCGAAAGCGUGGGGAGCAAAC
Molecule: ribosomal RNA, 421 nt
Filed under: uncultured bacterium
Lineage: Bacteria
Description: bacterial SSU rRNA
Rfam family: Bacterial small subunit ribosomal RNA
Source: RNAcentral